GAAAUGGUGCAGCCACUGUGGAAAACAGAUUGGUGAUUUCUCAGAAAGAUAAACAUAGAACUGUCAUCUAACCCAGUUAUUCCACUCCCAGAACACUGUACGCUCAUAACUAAUGCGACAAUGAUUGAGAAUGAACAGCGAUGACUGAUAAAGAAGAUCCCUAAGGAGACUAAAGGAUAUGAGACCCAGAGCCCCCAUAAGUAGAGACAGCAGAUUUUCUCAGCCUCAGAUUCUCUAUUUAUAAAAUAAAGGAAUGGGCUUGAAAGUU
This is a long non-coding RNA of Pan troglodytes (chimpanzee), 268 nucleotides long. RefSeq lists it as uncharacterized. The record is from RefSeq and is a predicted model, not a curated record. Lineage: Eukaryota; Metazoa; Chordata; Mammalia; Primates; Hominidae. The transcript has 2 exons.